This 248-nucleotide ribosomal RNA is filed under the name uncultured Lactobacillus sp. RNAcentral's name for it is "partial 16S ribosomal RNA". It matches the Rfam family "Bacterial small subunit ribosomal RNA", at positions 118 to 355 of the family's 1533-position model. The record is from RNAcentral. Lineage: Bacteria; Bacillati; Bacillota; Bacilli; Lactobacillales; Lactobacillaceae.
UGGGGAACCGUGCCCCACUAGUCUGGGAUACCACUUGGAAACAGGUGCUAAUACCGGAUAAGAAAGACGGAUCGCAUGAUCAGCUUUUAAAAGGCGGCGUAAGCUGUCGCUAUGGGAUGGCCCCGCGGUGCAUUAGCUAGUUGGUAAGGUAAAGGCUUACCAAGGCGAUGAUGCAUAGCCGAGUUGAGAGACUGAUCGGCCACAUUGGGACUGAGACACGGCCCAAACUCCUACGGGAGGCAGCAGCU